GGAGGGGUGCCCUUCGGGGAGCCGUGAGACGGGUGCUGCAUGGCUGUCGUCAGCUCGUGUCGUGAGAUGCUGGGUUAAGUCCCGCAACGAGCGCAACCCCUAUGGAUAGUUGCCAGCAAGUAAUGUUGGGCACUCUAUUCAGACUGCCCGGGUUAACCGGGAGGAAGGUGGGGACGACGUCAAGUCAUCAUGGCCCUUACGCCUAGGGCUACACGCGUACUACAAUGGCGCGCACAAAGGGGAGCGAGACCGCGAGGUGGAGCCAAUCCCAAAAAACGCGUCCCAGUCCGGAUUGCAGUCUGCAACUCGACUGCAUGAAGUUGGAAUCGCUAGUAAUUCGAGAUCAGCAUGCUCGGGUGAAUGCGUUCCCGGGCCUUACGUUCCCGGGCCUU
This 392-nucleotide ribosomal RNA is filed under the name uncultured bacterium. Its description in RNAcentral is "bacterial SSU rRNA". It matches the Rfam family "Bacterial small subunit ribosomal RNA", at positions 1007 to 1382 of the family's 1533-position model. The record is from RNAcentral.